AGCAGCCGCGGUAAUUCCAGCUCCAAUAGCGUAUAUUAAAGUUGUUGCAGUUAAAAAGCUCGUAGUUGAAUUUCGGGGUCAGUAGGUUGGUCGUGCCACUGGUAUGCACUGGUCUCACUGAUUCCUCCUUCCUGAUGAACCGUAAUGCCAUUAAUUUGGUGUUGCGGGGAAUCUGGACUGUUACUUUGAAAAAAUUAGAGUGUUUAAAGCAGGCUAACGCUUGAAUACAUUAGCAUGGAAUAACGAAAUAGGACGUUUGAUUCUAUUUUGUUGGUUUCUAGGAUCGACGUAAUGAUUAAUAGGGAUAGUUGGGGGCAUUAGUAUUCAAUUGUCAGAGGUGAAAUUCUUGGAUCUAUUGAAGACUAACUACUGCGAAAGCAUUUGCCAAGGAUGUUUUCAUUAAUCAAGAACGAAAGUUAGGGGAUCGAAGACGAUCAGAUACCGUCGUAGUCUUAACCAUAAACUAUGCCGACUAGGGAUCGGAUGAUGUUAAUUUUUUAAUGACUCAUUCGGCGUCCG
Molecule: ribosomal RNA, 519 nt
Filed under: uncultured Glomus
Lineage: Eukaryota; Fungi; Glomeromycota; Glomeromycetes; Glomerales; Glomeraceae
Description: SSU rRNA
Rfam family: Eukaryotic small subunit ribosomal RNA
Source: RNAcentral